Molecule: unclassified non-coding RNA, 946 nt
Filed under: Hevea brasiliensis (rubber tree)
Lineage: Eukaryota; Viridiplantae; Streptophyta; Magnoliopsida; Malpighiales; Euphorbiaceae
Source: RNAcentral
GUAAAUAUAUUACCUAACAAUUUGUUUGAUUCUUUUUUUCUAAUAGAAAUCAGAAAAUAUGGAACAGAGGUCUCUGGAAAGAGUGGUUUCACAGAGGGCUCUGCAGAUAGGAAGCUCAUAUCCAUGCCAAAUUUGUGUGCUUGCCUUUCUGUCUGGAGUUUGUCUCACCUCUUUAUUUCUUGUUGGACUUCCAAUUUCAACAUUCACUUCUUCAACAACCCUAAUAAGUCACUGCAAUGUUAAACAAGACAAGUUAGAAAGGUGGUUUGGAGAUAAGAGGCCACUCUCAUUACUCUACUCAUCUUGGAGUAAUCAAUCAUCAAAUGAAGGUAAAUCAAAAGCACCUCACUUGGAGAACUGCAAGCUAAGUGCCCAAACAAAUGAACGACUUGAUACCCGACUUGUAAAUCAUACCUUCCCUCCAUGGAAGGGACACUUUUCCUCCACACCUCAAGGAGCUUAUCCUCCCUGGAUCAAGGGGUCAGAUGAAGAAAAUUACCCCUUAACGAGGAAGGUGCAACGCGACAUAUGGCUCCAUCAACAUCCUUUAAACUGCAGUGAUGGAAAUGUUAAGUUUCUGAUAGCUGACUGGGAGAGAAUACCAGGGUUUGGUAUUGGUGCACAGAUAGCUGGAAUGUCUGGUCUUCUUGCAAUAGCAAUCAUUCAGAAAAGAAUUCUUGUUACCAGCUAUUAUAACCGUGCUGACCACAAUGGUUGUAAAGGUUCAUCACGCUCCAGUUGGUCUUGCUACUUCCUUCCAGAAACAUCUCCGGAAUGCAGAGAUCGUGCUUUUCAGAUCAUGAAACAAAAAGAAGCAUGGGAAAAAGGGAUCAUAACCAUAAAAGAAAACUAUACGUCUAAAGAGAUAUGGUCUGGACGCACUCCAAGGUAAAGAAGCUAUUACAGACUCCAUCAUGAAAAUAAAAAGACACCCAUAGAAUCCACA